UGCUCCUGGGGAUGGUAUUACCGCAGUGCGUUUGCAGCUGCCGCCAUGCCAUCUCUCCCAGCAGUGCCAGUCGCUCACUGGGGGCUGGGGAGCGCCGCACAUCGGGGUGCUCUUGGGAUGCGCCUGGGUGCCGGGGCCCAGCCGCCCAAGCGCCUCCAUCGGGCGAGGGCUGUGUUCCCUCGGCAGAAUAAGUGAGAUGCUUCGAAGUGUAACCGUGCUGGAGGAGUUAUUACCGGGUGUAGCCCUGCAGCGACGAAGCGACCAGCCUCAGGCACCACCUUGGACUGAGACCACGCUGCGUUUCCUAUGCUGCCCUUGAGGAGCUGGGAUGGAUAAGGAUCAUCGCUCUGCCACAGCAGCAACUGCCUGUCGUUACAGAUUUAGCGCCAUCGAAGGAGUCCGGGGUAUUAAGCGGGAAGAAUGAGAAGUACAUUACCCGGCAUGCUACUGAAGUGGACCUUGGUAAGGAGGGUGGGAGCGGGACCCUGUCCUGAUGAGCUGGCACAAGGAGUGAUGGAGGAGUCUGCAGGGUCUCCCAUCCCGCCCACACUUCAGCAAGGCUUAUUCUCUGACAGCGCUCCUGCACAGGCCCGCUGCCAACAUGGGCUUCAGCUCAAGGCAGCCACUGCCCGUUUCAUCUCCACAGACCCAGCAGCAGCCCCAGACGCCUGUUAAAGGCUGGAGAGCACCACAGCAGCACCCACGGUACCCAAGCAUCCCGUGGCUGGGCAAGCACCGACGGUCUGGCAGACAGGCUGAAGACCCGUCCCUGUGGCGUGUCCCUUGCACAACUUCACCGGGACGAAGUGCAGCGCAGGGGUCACCGCGUGUUUCUCCAAGAUGCCCUUCAGAGGCCCAGAGUGAGAGACAUCUAAAAUUCAUAAAUGUCAAGGAGGAAAGGAAGCGAGGACAACUAAAUAUAGAUAUCCAAGCACCUCCUGUAAGGCUACAAAAGCAGCAUGAUAUACGCAGCCUAAAAGACUUCUUGGACUUGAGCUUGGCAAAGCAUUUAAGGCCAGCCUGGUGACUGGGGACCCUGGCGUUUUGCGUGGGAAACUUCGCUGUUUACUUCGCCAUUCCGCUUCAAGGGGAGCAAAAACGGGUCCUGAAAUAUCUGGGUGUCCUGUGGAAAGGAGAUGCUGGUUUUUCAAAAGGGAAUUGCGUAGCAGAAGUACCUGAAACCCAAAAAGAAAUCCAGGGUUGUCAGAGUCUUCGGUAUCUCUUUUAAUUGUUACUCUGGUGGGAUUUUCUCAGAGAUUAUAUUUCCACAGUGAUAACUGUUAUCACUUUAUUUUAUAGUCCCGGCUAUUUGCAAGCUGGGAAUGAGCAGCGUUGGUGUCGAGCAGAGUUUCCAGGACAUGUUGAAAAGCAGAAAGCGCUGGCUUUCAUCUGCCCCGCUUACAAGGAGCACAACGUUUUCCCCAGUGCUUGCAUCCCAGUCCUGGCUUCCCGCGACCUUACGGCCAUCCCCUGCAAAGGCUGAACUCUGAGGAGGCACUGAAGUUGGCCAGGCAACUGGUGUGCUUCAUGCCCAAAUGCCGUGCUAGGGCAGCGCCUGGGAGCUGCAGAGCUGGCUGCCUCGCAGCGCUUGCAGGAUCCGGCCCUUGUAAGUUAUAUGGCAAUAGAGCGAGGGAAAUGGGAUGCCAGGGACAGCUCGCUGCAAAGCACAGCCCGUGUCUCUCUAGUCCCAUAAUUUUUGUUGGGAAGUUUUAUCUUUUUAAUUUGUUACAUAUCAUGCAUCGUCUGAUUAAUUAUUGCUUCUCUGCAGGGAGGACGAGAGUUUAUAGAGCAAUAUAGCAUUAGUGUUAGCUUUAUACACCCUCAAAGCCCAGAGGAAGCUCAGCAGAGUACUUAUGCGAUGUUCUGUCGAUAAUAAUGACUCAGCAUUUGGCCGGUUCGUGGGUAUAUCAGAAGCGCUUUAUUAAAACGUACACAGUAUAUGCAUCGAACAUAAAUACAGCCGAGAGAUGCGGAGCGUGCCGUGCCGCAUACAUAUCAGUCGGUGCCUACGCUGGGGCAGCCUCGCCGGGAGAGCUCGGGGCUGGAGCCGCUCGCUGGCACAGCCCUGCCUGCCUCUGCCUCUGCCUCUCCCUGCCUGCUCCGUGAAUCCCCAGCAAUGCAGGAGUUUAAUUGCCACGGUGGUCUGGGAUGCAUUGAGCUGCUCGGCAUGUCCUUCAGCUCCGUGAAUGCAGAAAUAGCCACAAUAAAACUCCAUUUACAGCCACAUCUCUCCAUCGGCUGAGCAAGAGCCCUCUCCCUGAAGAAGGCUGCCCAUCCAGCAAACGAUAUUAAGGAGGGUGUAUAACUGAUUGGGGAAGGUACUGCAGCAGGACUAACAGCAACGAAAUGCAGUUGAACAUUUCCAGUGCUGAGUAAACCAUGUGUCUUCAUAAUUUGAUUGUGCCCGGGUCCCCCAGGUACCUCCCAGCUCUAUUGAACACCGAUGGAGUUAUUUAGAAUCAUAAAUAAUAUUACCAAAGAGGGUCUGCUGGGUAAACAGAGUCGGUGUAUAAAUUGUCGGCGCGCGAUAUUGAUUGUUCUGAGCUGACUAAUGAAUUAUUCUGUUUAAGGGGCCGGGGAAAUAACGCUCGGUGUUUUCAAGGCAAGGGCCCUUUGAAGAAUUUCCCCCCGGCCCUGGGCUUUGUUGUCCCGGCCACCGCAGGCACCGAGCGUGGGCUGCCGGCAAUCGCCCCACCGCCAGCCUGCGCGGCACAGCCGGCAGACCCCUCAGCGGUGUGCAGCUGGGACGAGCGGGCAGGGAUGCAUUAACGGCGGGAGCUUGUCACAGGCAAUUCGCAAAACAUUCCCCUAACCUUUGAUCCUACUAGCUUCAUCCUUUCCUCCUUGUUUCUCAUCUUCCCUUCUUCCUUCCGUCUUUACACAGCGUCUUGCGCAGAAGGGACCUGAUGCGAGAUUUGUGGCUGCUCUUAGAGGUGCACCAGGAGCCUUGCUGUUGCCCUGGCCCUGUGCCAGCCAGCCAAGGCUUCCCACCACCUUCCCACCUCCUUCCUGGACCGAAUGCUUUUCCCCACAUGCAGUGAACCUGGGCGCUUCUCCCACCUGUUGGCAUUUUGCUUUUUUUUGGGCUGGUGUCUGCUUAAAUGGGGUUUUUCCCCGGAGAUGUAUUAGCUGCCUUAAGCCCUGCCCCAGGACGAGGAGAAAUGAGCCAUCCUUUUUAACAGAACGUGCUUUUUUUCUCCUCACCUGCAUAAUACGUUCUGUUAAAUUUAUAGUUUUCCAAUCCCUUUGAUGUAGGGGACUCAAAACACUUCCUCACUAAUCUCACACAGCAGUGCCUGAAACGCUGAAGGCGCUGGCGGGGGAUAUGGCAGGGAACCAGACAACAAUUAUUGGCGUUUUGGGGGCUGGGGCAGCAUUAAGAGACAGCUAAUUUUAAAAUAAAUUAUACCAUUAAACCGCUUUUGGUUUUUUUUUCCCCCUGCUUUUUGUGCUACAGGCUCACCAGAGAAGAGGCAAAGCUGGAGCACCCCGGCAGAAUGGCCACGCUGGCUACAGAGGAGCUCACUGGGGGUUUGCGGGCAGGAGGAAGAGGAGGGCAGCUUUGUCUGGGAACAAGCCCCUGCACUGGGCGAAUGCACUUGCCCACCAACCAUACCAAAUACUUGUACAGGGAUUGACCCAUUCAAGCCGGUCACGCAAACCUCCCUCGCAAGGCAUUUCCUGUUUAGUAAUCAGUAACCUGCACACUCCACACCUUGCUUCCAUCUUACGUUUGGCAUGCAUUUGUCUUAAGUUAUUCGAAGUUGAAAGCAAAGAAAAAUGGUACUGUAAUUCUGCCUGCCACCAAUUCAAAGAUUUGGGGCUUUUGCCAGAGGAAGAGGAGUGACAAAAUGUAUGUGACGUAGGGCCCCGCAUCUGGAAGGUACCUUAAAGCUUUACAAAGAAGCUUUGCAUAGAGAGUAAUUUGCUGUUAGGAAAAAGCUGAAUUGCUAGAAUAGCAUUUUCCUGCCGCCGGCCCUGCCCGAGCUGGUGCCCAUAUGAGUGCUGUGCCGCGUGCUGGGCUUUGGGGAAGAGCGGUGGCAGCUGCCUUCCCUUCCAAAGGGGGACGCGAACUGAGACGCCGGCCUGUCGCCGGAGCCUCUUCCCCAGGAAUGUGGCUGCAGCUGCUGUUCUGAGGGCAGAACUUUGGCUCCCCGUAAUUAAUACUGAUUUUGCCGUAACACCUUGUAUUUUAGCGCAUUAUCUUUCCUCUUUUCCACCCUUUGAGCUGUGAUUGCUACUCCACUUUAUAAAGGAAGCCCCGUUAUUUUCCCUCACAAAUAGAGCGGGGUCAAUUUUCAUAGCCCCUUUGCCACUCCAUUAAGCAUUACUGAAUUCACCACUUCUCACCGAUACGGCAGUAUUUCUGUCUCUGCUCGCUUUUCCUUUCUUCCUAAAGCUUAGGAAGACACUUGCUCAUAACCGUGGGUUUAGUAUCCAAGAGACCCAACCAUUUGCUGAAACUUCAGCAAAAGUUUAAACAUUGCCACGUCUUUACCAAUGGGCAGGAUUAGCCACAGCCCUGGCUUAGCAUCUUCCCAGAAGUCAAGUGAGCUUGUUCUCUGGAUGGGCUUCAUUUAGUUACUGAAGGUCUUAGGGACUCCUUAAGGAUGUUUGCCCAUCAGCUGGGAUCAGAGAAUGCGGUUCUCUCCCACAAAGGGCUUUGCGCUGUGGAAGCGCGUGCAAGCCAGGCUCCGGAGCGGGAUGCCUGGGACCACGCUGGACUGCAGGAGCAUGUUCUCACGGGAGCCUGGCUGGAUGAGCGUGCGUGUUUGCUCUGGGUGCGCAAGGAUGGGAAGGAGUUAAACCCAGCCACCCCAGGACCUUCAUGUCCAGCAUGAUUCAGGCCAUUUAAUUAGUGUCCCAUGCUUGGCAUAUUCGAUAGUGUUUUCCCCCCAGGGAGAAGCGCACCAGCUCACAUAUAUUGCCUGUUAUCUUUCAAGUACUCAGAGCAGAAUGCUUUUUCAGUAACCUCAUCAAAGGAUAAGCCAGGAUUCAGAUAAGCUUUUCAAGGAGGAAGUCAGGGUUAUAAUUUUCAGAGACUUCUGAAUGUCACCUCCAAUUUUCGGCUCCGCCGUUGGAGCGGCCGUUUUUGGAAGCCACCCAGCCUCAGAUAUUGAAAUGGGUGACCUGUGGACUCAGGCCUCCUCAGUUCCUGGUCAUCGUCAGUCUGGCAGAUCCUGGAGUUGAAAGUGCUUGAGAUUUCUGACUUUAUAAUAACGCGGUUUCUCAGAAGUGCAAAUUACAGAGGAAUUGGUGCUAAACUCCCCAUUAACUAUGGAGCCCGAGAAAUCCUCAGUGUCCCAAAUUACCUGUCACUUUCUCUGUAACACGGCAUAAUUCUGUCGCUUAAAAAAAAAAAAAAAGUGGCCAUCAUUUGACAUUUCAGUGAAAUUCCUAAUUGACUGCGCAGCUUGCUUUGCAAGCGGGCCA
Molecule: long non-coding RNA, 5433 nt
Organism: Aquila chrysaetos chrysaetos
Lineage: Eukaryota; Metazoa; Chordata; Aves; Accipitriformes; Accipitridae
Exons: 5
Source: RefSeq, a predicted model, not a curated record